GGGUAAAUAAUCUGUUCCUUUGCCUCAAUAUGACUUCCUUAGCAAAGAUCCCACUUGCACAGGCUCUUAUCUGUUCAUUUUUAGAAUAGUUGGAAAUCCUGCUGAAAAAAUGAUACCGUUUCUCACAACAUACGAGACCAACCUUCUUCCGUGGAAGUGAGAAAAGCAAACUUUUGGUGACACUCGCGCCCUCGAUUAUGCAAGCUGACAGUGGCGAAAGAGAGUCAGAUUUAUAAAGGAAACUGCUCAGCAGAGGAGUUUUGAAGGAUUUAGAGAAUUGCCUGGUGGUACUGAGCCCAUGACAGAGAGGACAAACUUGUCAUCGUUGGGCAGCCUCUCCCUGGAGCCACAAAGAGUAUGUAUAUUCAGGUCUCAUCUUGUGUGGAGUGAGGAGGUGGCUGGGAUGGCUGUUGGUGGCUGAGGAAAGACCCUU
This is a long non-coding RNA of Aquila chrysaetos chrysaetos, 433 nucleotides long. The record is from Ensembl. Lineage: Eukaryota; Metazoa; Chordata; Aves; Accipitriformes; Accipitridae.